AGUGAACGCUGGCGGUAUGCCUAACACAUGCAAGUCGAACGGCAGCACAGUAAGAUCUUGCUCUUACGGAUGGCGAGUCGCGGACGUGUCGCGAAUACAUCGUAAUCUACUUUUUCGUGGAGGAUAACGUAGGUAAACUUACUCUAAUACCGCAUACGACCUACCGUUGAAAGCAUUGGAUCUUCUGACCUUGCGCGGUUGAAUGAGCCGAUGUCGGAUUAGCUAGUUGGCGGGGUAAAGGCCCACCAAGUCGACGACCCGUAGCUGGUCUGAGAGGAUGAUCAGCAGCACGGGAAGUGAGACAGGGACAAGACUCCUGAGAGAGGCAGCAGAGGGGAAUAGUGGACAACGGGCGCAAGCAUGAUACAGCCAUACCGCGUGGGAGAAGAAGGCGUUCGGGUUGUAAAGACCUUUUGUUGGGAAAGAAAAGCAGCAGGUUAAUACCACGCUGUUCUGACGGUAACGAAAGAAUAAGCACCGGCUAACUACGUG
RNAcentral lists this ribosomal RNA (492 nucleotides) under uncultured bacterium. Its description in RNAcentral is "partial 16S ribosomal RNA". It matches the Rfam family "Bacterial small subunit ribosomal RNA", at positions 29 to 507 of the family's 1533-position model. The record is from RNAcentral.